AUGCAAGUCGAGCGGACAGAAGGGAGCUUGCUCCCGGAUGUUAGCGGCGGACGGGUGAGUAACACGUGGGUAACCUGCCUGUAAGACUGGGAUAACUCCGGGAAACCGGAGCUAAUACCGGAUAGUUCCUUGAACCGCAUGGUUCAAGGAUGAAAGACGGUUUCGGCUGUCACUUACAGAUGGACCCGCGGCGCAUUAGCUAGUUGGUGGGGUAAUGGCUCACCAAGGCGACGAUGCGUAGCCGACCUGAGAGGGUGAUCGGCCACACUGGGACUGAGACACGGCCCAGACUCCUACGGGAGGCAGCAGUAGGGAAUCUUCCGCAAUGGACGAAAGUCUGACGGAGCAACGCCGCGUGAGUGAUGAAGGUUUUCGGAUCGUAAAGCUCUGUUGUUAGGGAAGAACAAGUGCGAGAGUAACUGCUCGCACCUUGACGGUACCUAACCAGAAAGCCACGGCUAACUACGUGCCAGCAGCCGCGGUAAUACGUAGGUGGCAAGCGUUGUCCGGAAUUAUUGGGCGUAAAGGGCUCGCAGGCGGUUUCUUAAGUCUGAUGUGAAAGCCCCCGGCUCAACCGGGGAGGGUCAUUGGAAACUGGGAAACUUGAGUGCAGAAGAGGAGAGUGGAAUUCCACGUGUAGCGGUGAAAUGCGUAGAGAUGUGGAGGAACACCAGUGGCGAAGGCGACUCUCUGGUCUGUAACUGACGCUGAGGAGCGAAAGCGUGGGGAGCGAACAGGAUUAGAUACCCUGGUAGUCCACGCCGUAAACGAUGAGUGCUAAGUGUUAGGGGGUUUCCGCCCCUUAGUGCUGCAGCUAACGCAUUAAGCACUCCGCCUGGGGAGUACGGUCGCAAGACUGAAACUCAAAGGAAUUGACGGGGGCCCGCACAAGCGGUGGAGCAUGUGGUUUAAUUCGAAGCAACGCGAAGAACCUUACCAGGUCUUGACAUCCUCUGACAACCCUAGAAGAUAGGGCUUUCCCUUCGGGGACAGAGUGACAGGUGGUGCAUGGUUGUCGUCAGCUCGUGUCGUGAGAUGUUGGGUUAAGUCCCGCAA
Molecule: ribosomal RNA, 1056 nt
Filed under: Bacillus sp. 376B7_12ECASO
Lineage: Bacteria; Bacillati; Bacillota; Bacilli; Caryophanales; Bacillaceae
Description: bacterial SSU rRNA
Rfam family: Bacterial small subunit ribosomal RNA
Source: RNAcentral